UGGGGAAUAUUGGACAAUGGGCGCAAGCCUGAUCCAGCAAUGCCGCGUGUGUGAAGAAGGCCUUCGGGUUGUAAAGCACUUUUAUCAGGAGCGAAACGCUGUCGGCUAAUACCCGGCGGAACUGACGGUACCUGAGGAAUAAGCACCGGCUAACUUCGUGCCAGCAGCCGCGGUAAUACGAAGGGUGCAAGCGUUAAUCGGAAUUACUGGGCGUAAAGCGUGCGUAGGCGGUUUCUUAAGUCUGCUGUGAAAUCCCCGGGCUCAACCUGGGAAUGGCAGUGGAUACUGGGAGGCUAGAGUGUGUCAGAGGGUGGUGGAAUUCCCGGUGUAGCGGUGAAAUGCGUAGAGAUCGGGAGGAACAUCAGUGGCGAAGGCGGCCACCUGGGACAACACUGACGCUGAGGCACGAAAGCGUGGGGAGCAAACAGGAUUAGAUACCCUGGUAGUCCACGCCCUAAACGAUGCGAACUGGAUGUUGGUCUCAACUCGGAGAUCAGUGUCGAAGCUAACGCGUUAAGUUCGCCGCCUGGGGAGUACGGUCGCAAGACUG
This 550-nucleotide ribosomal RNA is filed under the name uncultured bacterium. Its description in RNAcentral is "partial 16S ribosomal RNA". It matches the Rfam family "Bacterial small subunit ribosomal RNA", at positions 355 to 896 of the family's 1533-position model. The record is from RNAcentral.